Drosophila subobscura is the source of this 771-nucleotide long non-coding RNA. RefSeq lists it as uncharacterized. The transcript has 2 exons. The record is from RefSeq and is a predicted model, not a curated record. NCBI's taxonomy places the organism in Eukaryota, Metazoa, Arthropoda, Insecta, Diptera, Drosophilidae.
GAACAUUUUGCCUGCCAACGACUCGUUUCCAGCCGUCAUUCGUCAGUUAUAACGGGAACUUUGCGCGGAGCGGACGGAAAACGGAAACAACAGUCUCGGUCCAAAACGCCUUACGUCAAGCUUUAGCAUGUGAACAGAAAGAAGAGUGUUAUCAGUGUCACAGAGAAAUAUAAAGCAUAAAAGCAUUGGAGAUAUGCUGCAUCAAUAUACAGUGAAACAGCCAACCAGUAUAAAGUACUACAGUGAAUUAAUAUUGAUUGCAGACCAGUAAAUACAGCACCCACCAAGGUGUAAGUGCACCAUCAGUGAUUGGAGACCUGGUGUACCGUGAAAUCCUAGUGACACAUCUGAUUUACAGUGAAACUAGAGUGAUUGCAACAUCACAUAUGUAGCUCUCAGAGUUCUACAACAGUGUCUACAAACAGUCAGGCACAACACUGUCGCUAAGGAAGUUCUGCAAAUAUUGAUAAAGAUACUUUUUUUCGGUGGAGAGAAUGUGAGAAAGGAGAUGUCAAGACGCUGCCGCAGUGAAGGCCCUGAGUAAAAAAAAAAAUCCCGAAGCUGAUUACGAUUGGCAGCAGAACCUAUAACAAUAAACGGAAGAGCAACAAAAGUAAUUUGAAUUUAGGUGUAGACAGAGACGGCAUAUAGGGAGAGAAAGAGAGAGACAGAGCACUAGAAAACUGUGUACAUAUUUUGUCUUUGUCCGUUCUGUCGUUUCGUCUGUGUAAAUAAAUGCAAUGCAGAAAAAGAGCAACAGCAACAGCAACA